AGUAGAGCAUGUAGCCGAGCUUGUUGUGUCGCGAUGUUGAAUGAAACCCGUAGUCUAAUUCUAAGUUGGUCUAUGUCAUAGAAACCACGUAGGAACUUAUGUGCAUAUCAAAUUUAGGUUGUAUAUUUGCUCACGGUGUAGACUUAAAUGAGAUUAGAAAUUGUCUUCUUUAUUCUUGCAUGGUUGUUUGGUUGAGUUUGCAUGAAUGUUGGUUGAUCACAUGUAUAUAUGUAUAGAAGUAAUUUAGGAUUUAUUAUUCUUGUCUUUUCCGAAAUCAUAAAACCUUUAAACCUAUGUGCUUAUUUUAACACUUAUAUUAGAUUAGAUGGAUCUACCCUGUAGUUGGAUCCCCGGUUUAUAACGAUCCCUGCUUGCUUUAUACUACGAUUGAUUUGUUGACAGGGUUAAUUGAUGCGUGUGCAAAUACGUCUUAUCAGAGCCUUCGUGCUCCCCAAAUCACAACAUCUCCCAAUUUAAUUACCAACUUAAACAAGAUAAUCUCAUAGCCAACAGCCACAGUUCAGAGCAACUUUAUUUGAAAGGAAAUGGACUACAAAUAUAAAAAUGAGCGGAAGCUACACUAUUGACUAUGCCUCUUCUCCAAAUAUGUCCGACCUCAACUAUGCAAUCAUGCAAACUGGGCAUUUUUAAAACGAAGAGCCCAGGGGAAAACAUUUGAAAACGAAACGUUAGAGUGAGUGGACAAAAAUAAAUUAACGAAUAAAAUAUUUAUGUUUCCCCAAAUCAAUUUCCAAGGAAAAUCGAAUGCAUGCUGCACGCGAUAAAACUUUUAGCUCAUAAAAUAUCGAGCCUCUCAGGCUCUAUAAUAUAUGUAUGUAUUUACACACGUUCAUACUCCCUAUAUAAAUUCAUGGUUCUAUAUAGGGCUACUACGCUCGCGUCCAACGCUCACGUCACGCCUUAAUGCGGUGCUUCACUACGCCAUUAAGGUGGACAGACGGGUGUAUAAAUAUGUGUCCAUACCCCCUAUAUGAAUUAGACACUCAUAUAGGGCUACUACGUUCGCGUCCAACGCUCACGUCACACCAUAAUGCGGCUAUAUGCUACGCCAUUAAGGUGGACAGACACAUAUGGCUAGCUAGCAUUUUCUAUACAUACUCUCUCAUAAAUACUUAUUUAUAUCCACCGAAAAUCUCAUUUUCGGUAUCUCUCCAAGAGAAAUAAAAAUCGUCAAAAAUUAAAAUGACGUCAAAAUGCUCCACGACAUUAAUUGUUCAUUCAUGAACCAUAGCAUGCAUAUUAUUUAAAACAAAAGUCCACUCACAAAUUAGGCCUAAGCCUGAUGUCGAUCUGGGGCCUCGUCUGCUCGAGCCUCCUCACGUCCUGUUCCAAAUAUAAUAUUAAUUUCCCAACCAAUAAUCCAAUAUUUAAUCAAAAUAGGCAAAAUUACCCGAGAGCCAUAAAUACGCUCAUCAUUACCUAACUUCGAUAAUCUUAAAUCGGAACGAUCCGAACUUAAAUAUCAUACUCAACAGUCGUAAAUACCACCUCCUCAAAAUACGACUUAAAUCCUACGGCCGGAUUCUACAUUAAUUAACCGCCAAAAAUACCAAACUUCGGAAAUUCACAAACCUAUCCAAAUCUCAUCCAAAAAUUCCAUAAAUCACAUCAAUAUACUCCUCUUAAUAUUCCACACUUAAAACCCUAAAAAUCUCCUAACCGGCGCCGGCGCCGNNN
RNAcentral lists this long non-coding RNA (1698 nucleotides) under Fragaria vesca (wild strawberry). RNAcentral describes it as "long non-coding RNA (FVES_LNC003320)". Lineage: Eukaryota; Viridiplantae; Streptophyta; Magnoliopsida; Rosales; Rosaceae. The record is from RNAcentral.